CCUACGGGUGACAGCAGUGAGGAAUAUUGGUCAAUGGACGCAAGUCUGAACCAGCCAUGCCGCGUGCAGGAAGACGGCUCUAUGAGUUGUAAACUGCUUUUGUACGGGGGUAAACGCAGAUACGCGUAUCUUUCUGAAAGUAUCGUACGAAUGAGGAUCGGCUAACUCCGUGCCAGCAGCCGCGGUAAUACGGAGGAUUCAAGCGUUAUCCGGAUUUAUUGGGUUUAAAGGGUGCGUAGGCGGUCGGAUAAGUUAGAGGUGAAAUCCCGAGGCUCAACUUCGGAAUUGCCUCUGAUACUGUUCGGCUAGAGAGUAGUAGCGGUAGGCGGAAUGUAUGGUGUAGCGGUGAAAUGCUUAGAGAUCAUACAGGACACCGAUUGCGAAGGCAGCUUACCAGGCUACUUCUGACGUUGAGGCACGAAAGCGUGGGGAGCAAACAGGAUUAGAUACCCCAGUAGUC
RNAcentral lists this ribosomal RNA (460 nucleotides) under uncultured bacterium. RNAcentral's name for it is "partial 16S ribosomal RNA". It matches the Rfam family "Bacterial small subunit ribosomal RNA", at positions 338 to 795 of the family's 1533-position model. The record is from RNAcentral.